This 253-nucleotide ribosomal RNA is filed under the name uncultured bacterium. Its description in RNAcentral is "partial 16S ribosomal RNA". It matches the Rfam family "Bacterial small subunit ribosomal RNA", at positions 524 to 776 of the family's 1533-position model. The record is from RNAcentral.
UACGUAGGGGGCAAGCGUUGUCCGGAUUUAUUGGGCGUAAAGAGCGUGUAGGCGGUCAGGUAGGUCCGUUGUGAAAACUCGAGGCUCAACCUCGAGACGCCGAUGGAAACCAUCUGACUAGAGUCCGGAAGAGGAGAGUGGAAUUCCUGGUGUAGCGGUGAAAUGCGCAGAUAUCAGGAGGAACACCAAUGGCGAAGGCAGCACUCUGGGACGUGACUGACGCUGAGACGCGAAAGCGUGGGGAGCAAACAGG